UGGUGGAGUGAUUUGUCUGGUUAAUUCCGUUAACGAACGAGACCUUAACCUGCUAAAUAGUUGGGGGAAAAGUCUGCUACGGGUGAAGCGGCGCGUGUCUGGUGUCGGGGCGACUCGGCGCCACCGCGCAGUGGAUCCCUGACUGUUUCCCAGCAGUUGAUCCAACUUCUUAGAGGGACUAUUGGUGUUCAGCCAAUGGAAGUUUGAGGCAAUAACA
RNAcentral lists this ribosomal RNA (217 nucleotides) under uncultured eukaryote. Its description in RNAcentral is "partial 18S ribosomal RNA". It matches the Rfam family "Eukaryotic small subunit ribosomal RNA", at positions 1299 to 1458 of the family's 1831-position model. The record is from RNAcentral.